Molecule: non-coding RNA, 756 nt
Organism: Vicugna pacos (alpaca)
Lineage: Eukaryota; Metazoa; Chordata; Mammalia; Artiodactyla; Camelidae
Source: RefSeq, a predicted model, not a curated record
AUCCCGCCCCAAAGCCGCCGCCCCGGGAGUGAGGGGCGCGAGCCCCCUCAGGACGGCGCAUCCGGGUCCAGCCUGCCCCCGGAGAGAAGUGGAAGCGAUGAGGGUGUUUUGCUGGCUCUAGGAUCCUUCCCGGUCUGUUGUCUGGGGGUUUGGCCGCAGUCCUCUGGAACCAGUGCGAGUCUGGACGGAAUUCUGCUCUAGACCAGCCCCAGGGCACGAGGAGGGGCGAAGACCUCGUCUGAGCCUCACUGAGGGCUGGAAACUUGACCUGGUACCUAAAGGUUGCAUUUGGAAACGGCCUGGGGGCGAGCGGUCUGCUGUCUCAGCACCCCUUCCACAGCGACCACGACCACUCGGAGGAAUGCGUCUCCUCCUGGGAGCCCCCCUGUACGUCCCACUGUGGACCACAGGACCCUCUGUUCCCUUCUGAGACUCUUCUCUUCUCCCCUUGCUUGGUGGCCACGAAUUGACCUGCCUGAGAAUUCCAUAGGGUCCAACCCUUCCUUCACACCCACCCUUCACUCAAAUCAAAAUGCAGGCAUGAUGCCCAUCAAAGGACAACUGGAAAUACUGGUGUGGAGCUACUGGGGAUUGAACCCAGGACCUCAUGCAUGCUAAAACUGCUUCACCAUUUGCUACAACAAAGAGGAUGCUGUAACGCAGGGGAAGGAUCAGUGGUCUGCAGCUCUCUCCUUACUGCCGGCGGCAGGACAGGAGCGACGGGUGGUUUCUAUCUGUAUGCCUGCAGGGCGUGAC